This 475-nucleotide ribosomal RNA is filed under the name uncultured bacterium. Its description in RNAcentral is "bacterial SSU rRNA". It matches the Rfam family "Bacterial small subunit ribosomal RNA", at positions 28 to 518 of the family's 1533-position model. The record is from RNAcentral.
GACGAACGCUGGCGGCACGCCUAACACAUGCAAGUCGAACGGUGAAGAGAAGCUUGCUUCUCGGAUCAGUGGCGGACGGGUGAGUAACAUGUGAGGAACCUGCCUUUCAGAGGGGGAUAACGUUUGGAAACGAACGCUAAUACCGCAUAACAUAUUCGGACGGCAUCGUCUGAAUAUCAAAGGAGCAAUCCGCUGAAAGAUGGCCUCGCACCUGAUUAGAUAGUUGGUGAGGUAACGGCUCACCAAGUCGACGAUCAGUAGCCGGACUGAGAGGUUGAACGGCCACAUUGGGACUGAGACACGGCCCAGACUCCUACGGGAGGCAGCAGUGGGAAUAUUGCACAAUGGGCGCAAGCCUGAUGCAGCGAUGCCGCGUGAGGGAAGAAGGGCUUUAGGAUUGUAAACCUCUGUCUUCAGGGACGAUAAUGACGGUACCUGAGGAGGAAGCUCCGGCUAACUACGUGCCAGCAGCCGU